ACCCCCUUAGCUCAGUUGGUAAGAGCAUCCGACUCAUAAUCGGCAGGUCGUAAGUUCGAUUCUUACAGGGGGUACCA
This 77-nucleotide transfer RNA is filed under the name Candidatus Thioglobus sp. RNAcentral describes it as "tRNA-Met". It matches the Rfam family "tRNA". Rfam says of the family: Transfer RNA (tRNA) molecules are approximately 80 nucleotides in length. Their secondary structure includes four short double-helical elements and three loops (D, anti-codon, and T loops). Further hydrogen bonds mediate the characteristic L-shaped molecular structure. tRNAs have two regions of fundamental functional importance: the anti-codon, which is responsible for specific mRNA codon recognition, and the 3' end, to which the tRNAs corresponding amino acid is attached (by aminoacyl-tRNA synthetases). tRNAs cope with the degeneracy of the genetic code in two manners: having more than one tRNA (with a specific anti-codon) for a particular amino acid; and 'wobble' base-pairing, i.e. permitting non-standard base-pairing at the 3rd anti-codon position. The record is from RNAcentral. Lineage: Bacteria; Pseudomonadati; Pseudomonadota; Gammaproteobacteria; Pseudothioglobaceae (SeqCode).